GACCAGGGACCAAGGCUUCGGAGAAGACUCUGGAGAAGGCUCGGAGGAAACUGGGUAGAGCCCCCACAUUUAGGCUAAAUCUCUGGACUCAUGGCUACUCUGUGGAGGGGACGGUAUUGCUGCAGGAGCCAUGCUUAUCACCUUCUCACAUAUAUUUGGAAGCUGGUUCUUUGGCCCAAAGUGCUUUUACAGCCUACCUGUAUUUUACCGGCCCUCCUAGACGGGGGGAACUCCCCUGUCCUCUGCAGGAAUGUCAAAAGCCACCCAUCUUUAACCACCUAAUGCUCCCAUCAGCAGAGAGGCACACAGCACAGUGAACGUCGAGCAUGCACACCAGGAAGCCCAGGUUCGAGUUCUGACCGUCACUUACUGGUGGUAAUGUAAGUAACUCAGCUUGCUUACUUACUCACUUACUGUAACUCAGCUUCCUUAUCUCUAGAAUGGGGCAGUAAUUGAUUCUACCUUUCCAAGUUACUGUGUGCACUGGAAUAAAGUCUGGCACACAGUAGGCAAUAUAAUACUAUGUUUGUUAAGCUAAAUAGAAUCAGUAUAUUUCCUUUUAAAAUAAUUAAUCAGACAAUGAUUUAUUAAAUAACCAUGAGAAAUCACAGUGCCUGGUGCUACAGAUAAAUCUCGCAUGCUUUAAAAAGGUUGCAGUCUAGUACAGGAACUAAGACAAGUGUGCAAUUAAGUACUAAACAAAUAGAAUCAAGAUUAUACAUUUUCUAAGUAUGAAUUCCUAAAGAAAAUAUCAAUAAGGUAUAAUUAAAAAACCAUAUUAGGCCACCAUAUCUGGCCUAAUAUGGUUUUUAUAAGAAUUACUAGUACUUAAUAAUGAGAUAAUAAUGCAUGAGUCCCAGAAAUAAAUGGGACAGAACUGAUAGCCCGUGAACAGACCCCAACUCAUAUAAGAAUCUGUGUGUAGUGCAGAAAGCUUCACCUUGAUUCCACAGGGACCAGCCGCAGCCCUGCAUGCUGACAGUGCAGUGCAGCGCAGGCUGUGGGGGGUGCAGUCCGCACACAGGCUCAGAGCCCAGCUCCCCAGCUUCCAGGCCCUGUCAUUGUACGUGAAGUGUGUGACAGUGCCACAGCCCCCUUUCCUCAUCUCUAAAACGGGGUGCUAAUAGUUGCAUCACUUCACUGGAUUCCUGCAAGGAAGAAGCAGUGCAUGUAAAGCACAGAGUACUUGCUCAAUAAGCGCAGAAUAUAUGGUACAAUCUUUUUUUAAAAUAAUUUUUAAACAAUAAUUUACAUGUUAAUUCCUAACUUGUAAAUAUAACACAAUAAAUUCCAGACAAAUUAAAAAAUAAAAAUUUAAUGUUGAGCUUAAAGCCAGCCUAGAAAAAAUAGUAUGUUUGCUCUGGCAGGACUAAGGUAAAAUCAAUGGAAGAAAUUAAAAACAACAAAAACAAUAGGUUUGACUUUAUAAGAUUUGAAAAGUUAAAGGCACCUACAUCAAAACAUCAUAAAUUAUAAAAGCUAUUAAUAAAGUAGAAAUAAGAAAUAAUUGUAACAAACAUGUAAUGUAUAACUAAUUCCCAGAUUAAAAAACAUAUUUUAAAUUAAUCAGUCAAAUGGCAAAGAAUGGGAAACGACAAGUCACAUACGAAGAAAGCCAAAUGGACACUUUUUCUAAAUGUCUACUAUGCAUGCCCAGGAAAAAAAGUGAUCAUUACCACAACUAUGAGUAAAUGAGAGCUGUUCACAGAAGUUGUCUAAAACUGGGGUUUCUCACCUGAAAUUGAUUGACAAAAGAAAACAUUUUAAUUCUCGUUGUUUUCCCCAGUGACAUUCCCUUUAUGUUAUCUUCUAUAACCUCAUUCUUGCACCCUUUGGGCCCAGCUCUCUACUUCUAAACUGACACUUCCAGGUGGAAUUUCAGACCCUGAUGCAGGGCUGGCCAUGAGAGCUUCAUCAGAGUCCUCCACUGGUCCCCGGCCUUCAGCUAGAGGGGGACCCUAUGAGGCAUUUUAGGGCCUACCCUGGAAAUGGUACAUUUCAGUGCUGCACAUAUUUCACUGGCCAGAGUGCAGUUAUUGGCUCAAAAUUAAUGCCAGAAAGGCUGAGAGAAACAAUCUGUGUGCGCAGGAAGAGGAACUGGGAUUGGUGGGCAUCUAGCUGGUUUCAGCUACAUUAUGACACAUUCAAAGCAUGGAAUAUUAAGUAGCACUAUAAAGGGAUGUUUCUGAAGAAUAUUUGAUGACAUGGAAAAAGCCUCAUUUUAUGGUCAUGAUUCAAAACAAAAUGUUGGAUCAGACAAUUAGCAUCAACCUAAUUAAGUAAAAGGCAUAAAUAGAUGUGACUAAAAGUUAUAUAUCAAAAUAUUAACAAUUGAUAAAUUACAGAUACCUCACAUUUAUUUUUCUACUUUUCCUUUUUCCAAACCAUGUGUGAGAAGCAUGUAUUACAAUUAUUUUAAAAUUUAAAAAAGAGUGAGAAACUUUCCUUUGAAGAUGGAGAUUUCAGCUUAGCAUUCAACUGCAUGGAGCCACGAAACUAUAUGAAAUUAUAUCAAUAGAUUUACCACUACUUUUACACAUAUUCCUUUUUGCAUUUCAUACUUUCCAUUCAACAUACUAUUUCUACCUGAAAUAGAGAACUAAUAAUUGUCUUAUUUCCUCUUCAAUCUUGAAAUACUGUUUUGCUGGGUUUUUCUCUUGGCACAAUGAAGAUAAUCUCCCCUCUCUGGCAUCCAUUGUUACUGCUAGAAAUUCAGCUGUCAGUCUAAUUUCUGUGUCUUUGUAAGUGAUCUCUCUUUUCUAACUAGUCAUUCUCUUUGGUCUGAAUUUGUAUUACUGCGUGUAGAUUUCUUUGUAUUUUAAUUGGCUUUGGAAUUGUUGGGUUUCCUGGAUUUGGGCCUUGGUAUCUUUCAACAAUUCAGUAAAAUUCCCA
Homo sapiens (human) is the source of this 2892-nucleotide long non-coding RNA. The record is from Ensembl. Lineage: Eukaryota; Metazoa; Chordata; Mammalia; Primates; Hominidae.